AUUGAACGCUAGCGGCAUGCCUUACACAUGCAAGUCGAACGGCAGCACGGGAGCAAUCCUGGUGGCGAGUGGCGAACGGGUGAGUAAAGUAUCGGAACGUGCCCAGUCGUGGGGGAUAACGUAACGAAAGUUACGCUAAUACCGCAUACGAUCUAUGGAUGAAAGCGGGGGAUCGCAAGACCUCGCGCGAUUGGAGCGGCCGAUAUCAGAUUAGGUAGUUGGUGGGGUAAAGGCUCACCAAGCCGACGAUCUGUAGCUGGUCUGAGAGGACGACCAGCCACACUGGGACUGAGACACGGCCCAGACUCCUGCGGGAGGCAGCAGUGGGGAAUUUUGGACAAUGGGCGAAAGCCUGAUCCAGCCAUGCCGCGUGCAGGAUGAAGGCCUUCGGGUUGUAAACUGCUUUUGUACGGAACGAAAAGGUUUGGCCUAAUAAGCUGAGCUCAUGACGGUACCGUAAGAAUAAGCACCGGCUAACUACGUGCCAGCCGCCGCGGUAA
This 500-nucleotide ribosomal RNA is filed under the name uncultured bacterium. RNAcentral's name for it is "partial 16S ribosomal RNA". It matches the Rfam family "Bacterial small subunit ribosomal RNA", at positions 30 to 523 of the family's 1533-position model. The record is from RNAcentral.